GAUGAACGCUGGCGGCGUGCCUAAUACAUGCAAGUCGAGCGAACAGACGAGGAGCUUGCUCCUCUGACGUUAGCGGCGGACGGGUGAGUAACACAUGGAUAACCUACCUAUAAGACUGGGAUAACUUCGGGAAACCGGAGCUAAUACCGGAUAAUAUAUUGAACCGCAUGGUUCAAUAGUGAAAGACGGUUUUGCUGUCACUUAUAGAUGGAUCCGCGCCGCAUUAGCUAGUUGGUAAGGUAACGGCUUACCAAGGCAACGAUGCGUAGCCGACCUGAGAGGGUGAUCGGCCACACUGGAGCUGAGACACGGUCCAGACUCCUACGGGAGGCAGCAGUAGGGAAUCUUCCGCAAUGGGCGAAAGCUUGACGGAGCAACGCCGCGUGAGUGAUGAAGGUCUUCGGAUCGUAAAACUCUGUUAUUAGGGAAGAACAAAUGUGUAAGUAACUAUGCACGUCUUGACGGUACCUAAUCAGAAAGCCACGGCUAACUACGUG
This 497-nucleotide ribosomal RNA is filed under the name uncultured bacterium. Its description in RNAcentral is "partial 16S ribosomal RNA". It matches the Rfam family "Bacterial small subunit ribosomal RNA", at positions 28 to 507 of the family's 1533-position model. The record is from RNAcentral.